CGCAGUUGUGUGCACUCUUAUUAAAUUAGUUCUUGAUCCUAGUAAGUUCGUCCUGAUUUAUAGCAAGCAGGCCAGAAGCUGAAAUCGGAAAGAAGCAUUACUGGACGAAGGGAGACUGGUUCGAAGGCCAUUCCAGUAAAACAGGGUCAUCAAGUGCGGUAAUCCAGUGAUACUUAACCUGCUUGGCUCGUGGACCUGCAGUUUGGACAGAGCUCAGUGAGAACAGCUUAUUUUCUUCGUGGCACAUCGGCAGGGGAGAGUCAGCCAGGGCGCGGGCGCUGGGGGACUUAGUUUCAGGAUGGCUCACUCACAUGAUUGACAGGUUAGCGCUGGCUGUCCGUUAGGAGCCCAGCCAGGACUGUGGACCAGGGCCCUCACCUUCUCUCCGAUGUGGGCCUUUCUGUACAGUGGCUGGGUCCCAGCAGCAGGCAGCCCCAAAGAACUGGGGGGGUGUGCAGGGCGUUUUAUGAGACAGUGUCAUAAAGAAGUUCAGAGAAGUUCCGUGCAGGUUCGAGGGGAGGGCACGUGGACCCCACCACCUGAUGGGAGGAGUGUCUGGGUCACUGUCGGAAGAGAAGGUGGCACAGGAGGGACCGCUGCGGCCACAGGGACCUCAGUCUGUUUCCGUUCCACCUCUGAAAGCAAGGACCGUGCUGGCCUCUGCUUCGCAGAGGGAACGAGGGGGUUGCAGCGUAAGUGCCGAGAGCGGCAGUGCCACGUGGCAAGCGCUGUCCCUGUGGAGCUGUCGCUCUCGUCUUCCUCUGCCCAGCGCCUGUUGUCCAGCUCGCUGUGAAAACCCAGACGGACGUCUCCACUUCAUCUAAUGUUCCGCCCUGCCUGCCUUACCUUCAGCCAUCCCACCUGUUUUCAAAGCCAAAGUUCUUGAAAAAUCGUUUGUUUUCUGUCUCCCCCUUUUCUAAACGCCCUGAUCUGGCUUUACCUCCAAUACAACACUGAACUCCUUA
Pteropus alecto (black flying fox) is the source of this 965-nucleotide long non-coding RNA. RefSeq lists it as uncharacterized. The transcript has 2 exons. Lineage: Eukaryota; Metazoa; Chordata; Mammalia; Chiroptera; Pteropodidae. The record is from RefSeq and is a predicted model, not a curated record.